Molecule: ribosomal RNA, 424 nt
Filed under: uncultured bacterium
Lineage: Bacteria
Description: bacterial SSU rRNA
Rfam family: Bacterial small subunit ribosomal RNA
Source: RNAcentral
UCGGGAAUUUUGCUCAAUGGACGAAAGUCUGAAGCAGCAACGCCGCGUGAGGGAUGAAGGCCUUCGGGUUGUAAACCUCUUUUAUCAGGGACGAUAAUGACGGUACCUGAUGAAUAAGUCACGGCUAACUACGUGCCAGCAGCCGCGGUAAUACGUAGGUGACUAGCGUUGUCCGGAUUUACUGGGCGUAAAGAGCGCGCAGGCGGUCGAUUUAGUCGAGUGUGAAAGCCCCCGGCUCAACUGGGGAGGGUCACUCGAUACUGAUCGACUCGAAGGCGGGAGAGGGAAGCGGAAUUCCCGGUGUAGUGGUGAAAUGCGUAGAUAUCGGGAGGAACACCAGUGGCGAAGGCGGCUUCCUGGCCCGUUCUUGACGCUGAGGCGCGAAAGCUAGGGGAGCAAACGGGAUUAGAUACCCCCGUAGUCC